UGGGGAAUUUUCCGCAAUGGGCGAAAGCCUGACGGAGCAACGCCGCGUGAGGGAUGAAGGCCUUUGGGCUGUAAACCUCUUUUCUCAAGGAAGAAGAUCUGACGGUACUUGAGGAAUAAGCCACGGCUAAUUCCGUGCCAGCAGCCGCGGUAAUACGGGAGUGGCAAGCGUUAUCCGGAAUUAUUGGGCGUAAAGCGUCCGCAGGCGGCCGUUUAAGUCUGUUGUUAAAUCGUGGAGCUCAACUCCAUCACGGCAAUGGAAACUGUUCGGCUUGAGUAUGGUAGGGGCAGAGGGAAUUUCCGGUGUAGCGGUGAAAUGCGUAGAUAUCGGGAAGAACACCAGUGGCAAAAGCGCUCUGCUGGGCCAUUACUGACGCUCAUGGACGAAAGCCAGGGGAGCGAAAGGGAUUAGAUACCCCNGUAGUCA
This 426-nucleotide ribosomal RNA is filed under the name uncultured bacterium. Its description in RNAcentral is "bacterial SSU rRNA". It matches the Rfam family "Bacterial small subunit ribosomal RNA", at positions 355 to 796 of the family's 1533-position model. The record is from RNAcentral.